AAAUCAACGCUGGCGGCGUGCCUCAGACAUGCAAGUCGAACGAUUAAAGCUCUCUUCGGAGAGGUGUAUAGAGUGGACGCAACGGGUGAGUAACGACGUAAGUAAUCUACCCUCGAGUGGGGAAUAACAACCGGAAACGGUUGCUAAUACCGCAUAAUAGCAGCGGCACCGCAAGGUGACAGUUGUUAAAGAUUUAUCGCUUGAGGAGGAGCUUGCGGCAGAUUAGCUAGUUGGUAGGGUAACGGCUUACCAAGGCUACGAUCUGUAACCGGUCUAAGAGGACGGUCGGUCACACUGACACUGAAUAACGGGUCAGACUCCUACGGGAGGCAGCAGUCGGGAAUUUUGGGCAAUGGGCGAAAGCCUGACCCAGCAACGCCGCGUGAAGGAUGAAGUAUUUCGGUAUGUAAACUUCGAAAGAAUAGGAAGAAUUAAUGACGGUACUAUUUA
Molecule: ribosomal RNA, 450 nt
Filed under: uncultured bacterium
Lineage: Bacteria
Description: bacterial SSU rRNA
Rfam family: Bacterial small subunit ribosomal RNA
Source: RNAcentral